Caenorhabditis elegans is the source of this 272-nucleotide non-coding RNA. NCBI's taxonomy places the organism in Eukaryota, Metazoa, Nematoda, Chromadorea, Rhabditida, Rhabditidae. The record is from Ensembl.
AUUUUCGCCAAAAAUAAAGCAAAAAUAAUUCAAGAGAAAAACGCGCCGCGUGUUGCGAUUGGGGCGUAACUGCAAUGUGUGCGCACACAAUCUCAACAAGCGCUGCGAGACCCGCCGCCUGACCGUAAUGUGAAAUGGGCGGAGACGAGAAGUUUUUUUCUGUUUGAAAGUUGAUGCAAAAGCCCGUGAUUCUUUUUUUCGAGAAAUUUCUCGAGUUUUUUCCAACGAAAAAUUCAUUAAAUUUAAACCUUUUAGCUCUCCUUUCCAAUAUU